RNAcentral lists this unclassified non-coding RNA (644 nucleotides) under Athalia rosae (coleseed sawfly). RNAcentral's name for it is "misc RNA ENSAEAG00005003232.1". The record is from RNAcentral. Lineage: Eukaryota; Metazoa; Arthropoda; Insecta; Hymenoptera; Athaliidae.
GCGAUUCGAGUCCUAGCAGAGAUACACAUUUCUUUCGACUACGUUAGUUUUCGCAAAAAUAUUGUUCACGGCUACACUAUGUUUUUUCAUCCUAUGUGUUUCAUGUUUCGUGUUCGUUUAUUAUACGAUUAAUGAUUUCAAGAAUUUUUAUGAUCCUGAGAAUGAUUUAGUUUCAAAUAAUUUUUCAGACCCACGUUAAUCGGUAGACUACCGUAUUAUCACAUGGGGAUAAACGAGGAUGAAGAAAAAAGCGUGACUUGGACAGUUGCAUUACUCCUAUUUACCCCAUACGUAAUAUACAACGAAUCUGAUUAUUCGCUGUACGAAACUUUUGAGCAUUUUUACGAUUCGGUGGUAAAGAGUAUAAGCGGUGCAGGGCGAAGAUUGAGAAGGGUGCUGGGUGCAGGAUGAGGGGUGUUCUACUACGUGAGAAUCAAGCGCCUGUAAUUCGGGGGAUUCCAGAUAAAAAUGGCAGGAGAAAGUCACGGUAUACGACCCAAAAACACCUGAGCCCCGGCUUUCUAUCUUAAUAUCAUGGAAACUAGAACCUGAUCAGUUUUGCUCUCGGCGAACCACCGGUUUAAAAUCACAUGGGGGCAGUGAAAGGAAUAUCGGGCGUUCGGCUCAUGUGCUGACGUUAUCCG